Molecule: ribosomal RNA, 238 nt
Filed under: uncultured bacterium
Lineage: Bacteria
Description: partial 16S ribosomal RNA
Rfam family: Bacterial small subunit ribosomal RNA
Source: RNAcentral
CGGCACGGGUGAGUAACACGUAUCCAACCUGCCGUCUACUCUUGGCCAGCCUUCUGAAAGGAAGAUUAAUCCAGGAUGGCAUCAUGAGUUCACAUGUCCGCAUGAUUAAAGGUAUUUUCCGGUAGACGAUGGGGAUGCGUUCCAUUAGAUAGUAAGCGGGGUAACGGCCCACCUAGUCAACGAUGGAUAGGGGUUCUGAGAGGAAGGUCCCCCACAUUGGAACUGAGACACGGUCCAA